UGCCCUUGGGAGCCUUUGAAAAACCACCUCUGACUUGACCUGGGUUUCCUGUUCCCCAUGAGUGCUCCAGGGCUGCGCCUAAGCCUGUGUCAUGGAACUCAGGGGUGAGCCUUGGGGUUGGCACCGGGACCAGGCCAUGACCUCUCUUAGUCAUGGAGAAUUUUCCUUGGAAAAUUCCUUAUCUGGCAACCCAGAGGGCCCCGCACCACACGGAGUCAUAUAUGAAGCACUGAUCACACCGUGCCCUCUAGGCCUGAGUCCCUCGUGUGAUUUAAGGAAAGUCUCUGUUACUCCCCAGUCUGCUUCCCUGUUCUCAGACAACUAAAGGGAUCCAGAGGCACUGCAACAUUCAUUCAUUCAUUCAUUCAUUCAGCAGUUAUUUGCCACGUUCCUGCCUUGGCCGGACCCUGUGCCAGGUGCUGGGGGCACAGUGGUGAACUGCCAUUGUUGUGGAGGCUUCAGUUCAUAAAAGAUUGAACUGUAAAGUGUAUAAAGAUUGUAAAGUAUACAAUUCUCAUUGAAUUGUAUACUUUAAAUGAGUCAGUUACAUGGCAUGUGAAUUACAUCUCUAUAAAACUGGUUUUGAAAGAUGAUGAAUGUGUCGAGAGCUGUGAAAGGGGAAGCCCUAGUGGAGUGGGAGCCCGUGGGCUGCUAUGGGUAGGGGAGUUAGAGAGACUGCUCUGAGCAUGCGAUGUCGAAAGCUGAAGCAUACGUGGAAGGUGCCCCGGCGCAAGGAGUGAGGGGACAGCAUUGUAGGCAGAAGAAAGAGCAUGGGCUUCGGGGCACACAGAUCUGGUGUGAGUCUCAGCCCUGCCCUUUGUUCGCUGUGUCCUUAUCAGGAAUGAUGGCCCUCAAUUUAGCCCCUGCUGUGUGCAAGCACUGUGCUAGAUGUUUACAUGUCUCAACUCAAAAUCCCCACAACUCCGUGAGGUAGACUGAAUGAUGACCCCAGGUUUACAGACGUGGAAAGAUACUGAGGCAUUAAAUAACCUGCCAGUGAUCCUAGGUCUGUCCGACCCGAGCCUGUGUGUUUAACCACCAUAUUCUGCCUCCCAAAGGGCUGUUUCUUCUGUAUGUCGGGUAAUCACACCUCUGCGACGUACUCUGAAACAGCAUCUGAAGAGCUCCAGGUUUCUCUUUCUUCCUUAUUUUCUGAGCUUCAGGGCCUUUAUGGAUUGAAAGCUGGAAGCUAAGAACGGGGCUGGAUCUGACACUGGUCCUAGUGUUGGGGAAGGGCACUGUUGAGUGAUGAGUCCCAUCUCAGCUCUUCCUUCCCUCCCUUCCCUCUGCCCCAUUCCCUCUGCCUGCUCUGCCCACCUAUCUCUAGUAGGACUUCCCUGACCUUCUCCCUUUAUUUCCCUGCUUUUUAGGGGAAUAUUUGUCAAUUAUUUUUUGGUCCCCAAAGAACUCUACAUUUUGGAGCUUUACAUGUUUAUUUAGUACAACAUAUUUUAACUGUGGUGAUAGAAAUUCAGACUGGAAGAAGAAUCACUCAGAAUAUAAAGUUCCUUUUAGUAGGCCCCUCUCCUCCACUCGGCCCUUCUCCCCACUUCCCUUCCACGCUGGGCCGGCAGAUGCCAUGCUUCUGGGGUCUGGUCAUUGAGGCAGAUAACCCCCUACUUCAGAUAACUUGGCUGCAUUUUUUGUGUGGCUGACGCAGCCCCACCGGCUGUCUGCAAACUCCCUGAAACAGGAUGACAGGCGGGUGUUUCUUGGGCACGUGCUGCGGCGCAGUCAGCUGCACUUGAUGAUGGGUUUGGAUGAACGGGAGAGAGGGGUGGAAGGGGAGAGGGGAGAAGAGGCCAGGAGGACUUUAGAUUGUAGUUACAUAUGCACAAUCUGCCCGUUGUUUUAGGGACAGAUAUGAUGCUGCUUGAGGACUACACGUCUGAUGACAACCCUCCCUCUCACUGCACUUGCCCACCCAAGAGAAGGAGCUCGGUGACAUUUGAGGAUGAAGUGGAACAAAUCAAAGAAGCUGCCAAGAACUCGAUUCUUCAUGUGAAAGCUGAAGUACACAAGUCCUUGGACAGUUACGCAGCAAGCUUGGCCAAAGCCAUUGAGGCCGAAGCCAAAAUCAACUUAUUUGGGGAGGAGGCUUUGCCAGGGGUCUUGGUUACAGCACGGACUGUCCCGGGGGGCGGCUUUGGGGGCCGCCGAGGCAGCAGAACUCUUGUGAGCCAGAGGCUGCAGUUGCAGAGCAUCGAAGAAGGAGAUGUUUUAGCUGCCGAGCAGAGAUGAGGGCCUCAGGGUGCCGUGGGGCUGCAGCCUGAGAGGCUGGCCCGGGGAGGAGUUCCCAUCACUGCCUGUGCCGCGGCCUUGGGAGCAUGUCACUGUGUACAGCUGGCCACACACAGGGAAGAAGCAGCAUCUGGUAUGCAGCCACCAGGACAAGGACUGAAAAUAAUGUCUACAGUCCACAGCUUCAGCGUUUCCAGAGACCACAUGUGAGCUUCUUUUAGGUCCCAGUGAUGGGACCAGAAGCAUCUAAAGCAAAACAAAAAAC
Molecule: small RNA, 2506 nt
Filed under: Pan troglodytes (chimpanzee)
Lineage: Eukaryota; Metazoa; Chordata; Mammalia; Primates; Hominidae
Description: retained intron
Source: RNAcentral